ACUGGUGGGAGCUUGGAAGGAGGGUAGAAGGGAGAAAGAAGCUGAUUUUAUUUCUCCUUCUGUUGAAGUCUCUGGCAGUGGCAGCAGUAGCAGCAGUGGCAGCAGCUGCGGCAAUAGCAGUAGCAGCGGCAGUAGGUGACUGAGUUUCUGCUCAGGUGGAGUUUCAACAGCAGUGGGGGCAGGGAGUGCUCUCGCAGCCUCUGCAGCAGGGCGUUCCUGGGCUCUGGAUCUGGCAGCAUCAGUGUCCGUGACAGGCAGCCCUUGGUGGGAGUUUAAUUUCUCGGCUUCCUGAAAGAUUUCCAAUAACGGCCGUGGAGCAGCAAGUAUCACAGCAGCUUCAGCCACCGAGCAAUCACCGACUCUUUGUGGAUCACACCAUAUUUCCUUUUGUUCAGCCAGCCUUAGGACGGCCCUGAAAGCAGCAGAUCUCACCUGCAUUGGAGGAUGAGACGCCACAUGAAGAAGAAAGAAGACGCCACAGACAGCAGCGCAGUACCACCUUCCAGAGAUGUGAGUGUGACCGUCUUUGACCUUCUAGCCCAGCUGCUUUCCCUGAAUGCAAUGCAUGAGCAGGCCAGGCAAAACUAGAGAGGGAAGCUGCCCAGCUAACCCACAGAAUUAUGAGAGAUAAAAAAUCAUUGUCUUAAGCCACUAAGUCUGUUAUGCAGCAAUAUAUAGCAUUCAUUCAACUUUUGUCUCAUGAAUACUCUCAUUUCUUUUAUAAGUUCUUUUGUGGUUCAAAUUAGCUCAAAUCAGUUUCUGAUGCUUAUGACCAAAUGCCCCUAUGUGAUAGAUUUUGAGGGGUUAAGAAGCUUGCUCGGAUCACACAGCGGUAAGUAGCAGCACUUCAUCUUUAACCCACCUCUGGCCCACUCCCUUUCCAUAGGUCCUUGUUGCCUCCCUCCCUAAUCCCUUCCAGUCUAGUUUCCUCACUCAUUUUAGCAUCUUGAAGAUGCCUGACCUUUUGUAACAGGCACUUAGAAGAGGCAAUAAUCAAGCUGUGAGCUGGAAUACUGGGUUUCUCAUCCAAUAACCAGGUUGGCAGGUUGGUAACCAUACAAGGGACUUUUCAAACUGGAGAAUUAGUGUGCUGAGCACAAAGUGGUGAGUAUUUUGAGAGUUACUGAAAUAUAAUUGACAUAACAAUAAAAAUACAAUAUUUAAGUGCAUGUAUUUCAAGUGUACGAUUUGACAAGUUUGGUUAUAUUAUAUACACCUACGAAACCAUCACCACAAUUAAGAAAAUGAGCAUAGCUAUCACACACAAAAGUUUCCUUGUGCCCCUUGGUAAUUCCUCCCUCUCUCCUGCCCACAUCUCUCCUUUUCCCAGGCAAUCCCUGAUCUGAUUUCUGCCGCUAUCAAUUCGUUUGCAUUUCCUAGAAUUUUAAAUAACUGAAAACAUACAUUAAGAACUCUUUUUCUCUGGCCGAGUAUGGUGGCUCACGCCUGUAAUCCCAGCACUUUGGGUGGCCAAGGCGGGCAGAUCACCUGAGGUCAGGAGUUCGAGACCACCCUGGCCAACGUGGUGAAACCCUGUCUCUACUAAACAUACAAAAAUUAGCCAGGCAUGGUAAUGGGCAUCUGUAAUCCCAGCUACUCGCGAGGCUGAGGCAGGAGAAUUGCUUGAACCUGGGAGACAGAGGUUGCAGUGGGCUGAGAUCACGCCACUGCACUCCAGCAUGGACAACAGAGCGAGACUCCGUCCCCAAAAAAGAAAAAAAAAAAGAACUUUUUUUUCUCCAGCUUCUCCCACUUAGCAUAAUUAUGUUGAGAUUCAGCCAUGUUUUCCUGUGGAUCAAUAAUUUAUUUCUUUAUAUUGCCAAGUGGUAUUCCAUCGUAUGUAUAUACCAUAGUUUGUUUAUCCAUUCAACCACUGAAAGACAUUAGGGUUGUUUUCUGUUUUGGGUUAAUAAAACAAAGCUUCUGUGAACAUUUAUCUACAAGUCUUUGUGUGGAUAUAAGUUUCCAUUUCUCUUAGGUAAAUAUCUAGGGUCAUAAAAUAAGUAUAUACCUAAAUUUUGAAGAAACUACCAAACUAUUUUACAAAAUGGUUGUAUUAUUUUACCUUUUUGCCAGCCAUAUAUGAGAGUGUCAAUUCCUUCACAUUCUUGUCAAAACUUGAUGUGUUCAGUCUUUUUAAUUUUGACCAUUCUAAAAGCAUGUAAUGGGGCCGGGCACAGUGGCUCACACCUGUAAUCCCAGCACUUUGGGAGGCCGAGGCGGGCAGAUCACGAGGUCAGGAGAUCGAGACCAUCCUGGCUAACAUGGUGAAUAAUACUAAAAAUACAAAAAAUUAGCCGGGCAUGGUGGUGGAUGCCUGUAGUCCCAGGUACUCAGGCGGCUGAGGCAGGAGAAUGGCCUGAACCCAGGAGGCAGAGCUUGCAGUGAGCUGAGAUUGCGACACUGCACUCCAGCCUAGGUGACAGAGCGAGACUCUAUCUAAAAAAACAAAACAAAAAUGAAAAAAAAAAACACACAAAAACAUGUAAUGGUAUCCCAUUGUGGUUUUAACUCACAUUACUGUCAGAGGCAUUGGAACCAGAGUGACUCCAUCUUGAGCAGAGGCUAGAUAAAAUAAAGCUGAGACCUUCUGGGCUGCAUUCCCAGGAGGUUAGGCAUUCUUAGUCACAAGAUGAGAUAGGAAGUUGGCACAAGUUACAGGUCACAAAGACCUUGCUGAUAAAACUGGAUGCAGUAAAGAAGCUGGCCAAAACCCACCAAAACUAAGAUAGUGAUGAAAGUGACCUCUGGUUGUCCUUACUGCUCAUUAUAUGCUAAUUAUAAUGCAUUAGCAUGCUAAAAGACACUCCCACCAGUGCCAUAACAGUUUACCAGUGCCAUGGCAACAUCAGGAAGUUACCCUAUAUGGCCUGAAAAGGGGAGGAACCCUCAGUUCCAGGAAUUGCCCACCUCUUUCCUAGAAAACUCAUGAAUAAGUCACCCCUUGUUUAGCAUAAAAUCAAGAAGUAACAAUAAGUAUAAGCAGCUGAGCGGCCCAUGCUGCUGCUCUGUCUAUGGAGCAGCCAUUCCUUUAUUCCUUCACUUUCUUUGUUUUUUGUUUUUUGUUUUGUUUUUUUGUUUGUUUUGAGACAGAGUCUCACUGUGACACCUAGUUUGGACUGCAAUGGCGCGAUCUUGGCUCACUGAAACCUCCGCUUCCCAGGUUCAAACGAUUCUCCUGCCUCAGCCUUCCGAGUAGCUGGGACUACAGGUGUGCACCACCAUGCCUGGCUAAUUUUUGUAGUUUUAGUAGAAAUGAGGUUUCGCCAUAUUGGCCAGGCUGUUCUUGAACUCCUGACCUUAAGUGAUCUGCCUGCUUUGGCCUCCCAAUGUGCUGGGAUUACAGGCUUCAACCACUGAGCCUGGCCUACUCCUUUGCUAUCUUAAUAAACUUGGUUUCAGCUUACUUUAUGGACUCGCCCUAAAUUCUUUCUUGUGCAAGGUCCAAGAACCUUCUCUUGGGGUCUGCAUCAGGACCCCUUUCUGCCCUUUCUGGUAACAGUACCAUAAUAACAAAUAUUAUCGAGCAUAUUUUCAUGUAAUUAUUUGCAACUUGUAUAUCUUCUUUGGUAGAGUGUCUGUUAGAAUAUUUUGUCUAUCUAAAAAUUGGGUUUGUUUUCUUAUUAUUGAAUUUUGAGAGUGUGUUAUAUGUUCUGGACACAAGCCCUUUAUCAGAGAUAUGGUUUGCAAAUAUUUUCUUCUAGUCUGUGACUUUUCUCUCUUAACAAUGUCUUUUGAAGAGCAGGUGUUUUAAAUUUUGAUGAAGUCAGAUGUAUCAAUUUAUGAUUUUAAUAAAUCAUGCUUUUAGCAUAGUAUUUAAGAUACUUAACCCAAGGUCACAAGAGUUUUCUUUUAGAAGUUUUAGUUUUAGGUUUUGCAUUUAGGUAUAUGAUCCAUUUUGAGUUAGUUUAUAUACAUUGUGCAAGGUAAGGACUGAGGUUUUUAAUUUUUGCAUAUAGAUUACCACUUGUGCCAACCUCACUGUUGUGAUGAUAUGAUAGAAAUCACUGUCUUUUCUCCACUGACUUGCUUUUGCAUCUUUGUAAAAAGUUGGUCAUGCCAAUGAAACUGACCCAAUUUUCCCAUAGAACUGAUGGGAAAAACUGUUUACAGUUUUGUUGUUGUUUUUUGUUUUUGUUUUUGUUUUUAAUGAACAUUGAAGUGGACUCUCCAGGUUUUAAAGCUUGAGAAACUUACAUUUGUCUUAUCUGAGUUUAUUUCUCAGGAAACCAGCUGUCAGGCCUCCCAGAUAGUAUCAGAAAGCUGAAGAUUUCCAGAUCGCUGCAUCCUAACAGCAAGGUGCCAGAACCCUGAUUCAACUACCUACUGCCUGUUGAGCAACUCCUACAUAAACUCCUAACUUUAUUGGUUACAGAGACAGAUUUUAGACUUGUCUCCCAUAUCCUGGCUGGCAUCACCAGCAAUAAAGCCUUUCUUCCUGGCAGUACUUGUUGUCUCAGUGAUUGGCUUUCUGUGUGGUGAGCAAUCAGACCUAAGCUGAAUCCCUGGCAUUCACCAACACAUAAAUGUGCAGUUCUGUUUCUGGACUCUCUCUUCUGCUUCAUUGAUCUGUUUUUCUAACUUUAUGCCAAAAUUGCACUAGUUUGAUUACUGUUCCUUUAUAAUAAGCUUUGAAAUAAUGUCAUAUUAGGCCUCCAACUUUGUUCUUCUUUUUGAAAACUGUUUUGGCUAUUUUAGGUCCUUGCAUUUCCAUAAAAGUAUUAGAAUCAGCUUAUCAAUUUCUCCAAAAAAAAAAAAAAAAGCCUACUGAGAUUUUGAUUGGGAUUGCACUGGAUUUAUAGACCAUUUUGGGGAGAACUGACAUCUUAACAAUAUUGAGUCUUCCUCCCAUGAACAAAGUAUAUUUCUUUAUUUGUUUAGGUCUUCUUUAAUUUUUCUCAACGAUGUUGUAUGGUUUUCAGUAUAUAGAUCUUUCAGAGUUUUGUCAGAUUAAUUCUUAAGUAUUUAAUAUUUUUGACCUAAUUGUAAAAGGUAUUAUUUCUUUCCGUUUCAAUUGCCAAUGGGUUAUUGCUAAUAUAUAGAAAUGCAAUUGAUUUUGCCUAUAACUUUGCUAAUAGUUCUAGUAGCUUUUUCAUGUGAAUUCCAUUGGCUAGUCUACAUAGCUCACUGACGCUCUGUUCAUUAAAAGAAUUUUUUCCCUCUGAGUUUCCUUUUAGGUAGCGUCUUUUGCUAUGAUUUCAAUUUCACUUUUUUCCCCUUCUUCAAUAGCUAAUCUGCUACUAAUCCUAUAGUGUUUUUUUCAUCUCAAUAUUGAACUUUCCAUCUGUAGAUGAUUUGAGUCUUUUCUAAAUCUUCCAUGUCUCUAUUUGACCUUUUAAACAUAUAGAAUACAGCUAUAGUAACUGUUUUAAUGUCCUUUUCUGUUUAUUCUACUGUCUGUGUCAGUUCUGGUUUGAUUUCAGUUUAUUGAUUAUUCUCUUCAUUAUGGCUAGUGUUUACCUCCUUCUUUUCAUGAUGAGUAAUUUUUUAUUUGAUGCCAGCCACUAUAAUUUUAUCUUGUUGGGUCUUGGGUUCUUUGCAAUCUUAUAAGUGUUCUUCAGCUUUGUUCUGCAAUACAGUUAAGAUACUUGGCAACACUUGAAUACUUAAAGUCUUGCUUUUAAGAUUUUUUAGGUGGUACUACAGCAGUGCUCAGUUUAGGCAUAAUUAUUCCCCACUACUAAGUUAAGACCCUUCUGUGUACUCUAUUUAUUGCUUCAUGAAUCAUGGUCUUAAAUGUGGCUGGUAAGAAUAGGUACUAUUUCUAGCUGUGUCCGAGUAUCAGACAUUGUUUCUUCUAAUCCACUCAGGUGGUUCUUUUGGCCUUGGGUAAUUUUCUGUCAUGCAUGCACAAAUCAAUACUCAGAAGAAUACUUAAGGAGGUCCCUCUGCAAAACCCUAGAACUCUGUGUGCACAAAUCUCUCCUCUCUGGGAACCUGCUUGUGAGUUCUCACUGCUGUGGUUUUUCCAACCUUCAACUCUGUCUCCCCAACUCAGGGAGGCCUUGGGGCUCCACCAGGGUUCCCUCUCCCUAUAUCUUAGCCUCAAAACUCUUUCACAGUAGUAAAUUUUGGCCACUGUAUGGAUGACAUUAUUUAUGUCUCAUCUCUUAAGUAUCAAAGUAUCAUUAUCCUUAAUUGCCUGGUGUCCAGUACCUUAAAAUUGCUAUUUAAUAUAUUUUGCUUUUUUUUUUUUUUCAGGGAGGAGGGUAAAUCCAAUCCAUCUUGAAUGAGCAUAUGUAUUAGUUUUUAUGCUCCUGAUAAAGACAUAGCUGAGGCUGAGCAAUUUACAAAAGAAAGAGGUUUAAUAGACUUAUAGUUCCUUAUGGCUGGGGAGGCCUCACAAUCAUGGCGGAAGGCAAGAAGGAGCAGGUCACAUCUUACGUGGAUGGCAGUAGGCAAAGAGUUUGUGCAGAGAAACUCACAUUUUAAAACCAUCAGAUCUCCUGAGACCCACGAGAACAGCACAAGAAACAGCACGGGAAAGACGUGCCCCCAUGAUUCAACCAUCUCCCACUGGGUCCCUCCAACAACAUGUGGGAAUUAUGGGAGCUACAAGAUGAGAUUUCGGUGGGGACACAGAGCCAAACCAUAUCAGGGUAGAAUGGUAUUAAAGAAAAAGAUUUUCUUACACUUAUUAAGGCAGUAAGAAAGAUUUAUUCAAGAUUAUUGCAAUAGGUAUCAAGACUGUGCAAUAGGAGACAGGAAAUGGUUGAGCUCAACUCUGAAUACAGCAAAAACCACUGGAGGUUUUUAGCCAGUGAGCAGAAUGGGAGGAGAAGAGUCAGUGGAUGGAAAAUUACUAAGAGGAGAAAUCAAAGGUGGGAGGAUUUUCCCUAAACUGACUUAGCAGGACUCUUGUUACAAUUGGACUAGGCAGGCUGAAGACAGGAUGCAAGGACAAAGCUUGUUGAAAAGAGGCCUCAGAGGAGCUCAUCUAAAAUUUGGUCAAGGGGAGGGUCUUUCUUGGUCCCUCCUCUUGUUCAAGGGAAAAAGAGACAUUCUUCUUUCCUUUGAACAAUAUAAGUCAAUUUCUCAUUUGGUGGCCUUUUUUUCAUUAAGGACAAGCUGAGCCCCCUGCUGAAACUUGGUAGCAGGGCAGCCAGUUGAGAAGAUUUCUAGAUGUCAAGGCAUCUUUAGAUGAUGGGGUGAGGACUGCAGUGGCCAUCCCAGAUCAUGGAUUUUCUGGUUUGCAGUUUGAAUGUCCUUGGUGAUGGCAUAGACAUCAGUGUCACAGUCAUGGUUAUUUUUCCGAGCAGAGUGUAGAAGUGUCCAACUUCAUCUUGAAGGGCUUCUUUAGACAGUCACAAUAAAGAUCUGGGAAGUUAGGUUUUAGUUCUCAGUGAUGCCAAAUCAGGACAGUGGGAGAAAAAUUAAAAACCUCAGUUUGGAGAGUGGUAGCCAGAUAGUAAAGGGAACUAGAAGAACUGAGAAUUUGGUAAGGACUGACAAGCUGUGCAUGAUGACAGGAUCCCGUUCAAUUUACAAGUAGAUAACAAAACCUGAAAGACAAGUACAGGACCAGAAUAAUAACCCAUAAGAAGGUGCUAUAGUUUUUAUAAAAUAUCUUUCUACAGUCAUCCCCCUUUUUUGAUCCAAAUUAACCAAAGUAAGAUUAUUCUUGUUUACAAAAUAAGUCUUGUCUCAUUAUAUUUGACUUACUUAUUUGCAUAAUUGCAGCAAGAAUGGCAACUGACCAGGUAGGCUUAUUUAAGUUUGCAUUGCUGGAACUUUUUACAAGUAAUCUCAGAUUAUGCUUUCAAGAGUUCUUGAAGCUAUAAAGCCAAGUCAAGCACCACCAGGCCUUAUCUGCAAUGCCUAGAGAUUCAGAUGGGUUCUUCUCUUCUUGAGGUCCUAAAAACAUCCUGAGUUUCUUUGGCCUGCCAGAAAGUCACCUUCCUGACUCACCUGUAAGGCUGGGAACUCCAUAAUCCAGUUGGAAAUGCAGAAAUCACCUGUCUUCUGCGUCGAUCAGGCUGGGAGCUGCAGACCGGAGCUGUUCCUAUUCGGCCAUCUUGGAAUGGACCCCCAUGUCUUAUUCUCAAAUAAAACAUUUUGGUCAAAGCCUUGAUUAUCUAAUCAAUUUUUAAAAUUAUGUUCUGUUACAAAAAGGACAGAUUCUUAUCGAACCCAUAUAAAAUAGUAUAUCACCAUUGAUACGGUUUGGAUCUGUGUCCCCACUCAAAUCUGAUGUUCAAUUGUAAUCUCCCAGUGUUAGAGGUGAGGCCUAGGGGGAGGUGAUUGGAUCAUGGGGACAUUUUCUCAUGAAUGUUUUAGCACUGUCCCCUUGGUGCUGCUCUUGUGCUGGUCAGUGAGUUAUCGUGAGAUAUGGUUGUUUAAAAGUGUGUAGCAGCUGGACAUGGUGGCUCACACCUGUAAUCCCAGCAUUUUGGGAGGCCAAGGUGGGCAGAUCACCUGAGGUCGGGAGUUCGAGACUAGCCUGACCAACAUGGAGAAACCCCAUCUCCACUAAAAAUACAAAGUUAGCUGGGUGUGGUGGCGGGCGCCUGUAGUCCCAGUUACUCGGGAGGCUGAGGCCGGAGAAUCGCUUGAACCCGGGAGGCCGAGGUUGCCGUGAGCCGAGAUCGUGCCACUGCAUUCCAGCCUGGGUAACAAGAGUGAAACUCCGUCUCAAAAAAAAAAAAAGAAAGUGUGUAGCACCUUCCCACUCUCUCUUUCUUCCUUCUGCUCUGAGUAUGUGAUGCGCCUCACUCUCCUUUUGCCUUCCACAUGACCGGAAGUUUCCUGAGGUCUCCGGAGAAGCAGAAGCUGCCACGCUUCCUGUGCAGCCUGCAGAGCCGUGAGCCAAUUAAACCUCUUUUCUUUAUAAAUUACCCAGUCUCAGGUAUUUCUUUAUGGCAAAGUGUGAACAGACUAAUACAACCAUGAACAUAAAAAUACUCAGUAAUAGUUUCUGAAUUAUGGAAGGAUUAGGAAAAAAGAUAAAUGUUCCAUUUUUGUUAUAGAAAUGUAUCUACUAAAUUGUUACAUAUUAUAGCUAACUUAAGAGAAAAAGAAAAGGGGUUCCUUAUGUCCAGAAAAUAGAACAUUAAGAACAAGCAAUGUUCCAAACAAAAAGCCAUAAAAAUUAUACUCCUUCUUUAGUUGAUUCAGUCCUAUGUAAUUAAUUCUUGUUUUGCUUGAUCAUGGGUUAGCAGUUUCAUGAACUCAACUAGAGUUUCGAAAACCCUCACUCAGUCCAGCAGUAUGAUAUUCAAGUUUUUUAGGCCAUGUCAGUAUCAGAUGGGGGCUGGGGAGGUUGAUGGGUAGAAAAUUAUUAAGAGAAGUAAUUACCAAGAAAAAUAUCAAGGGGAGGGGAAUUCUUGCUAAACUGACUUUAACAGGAUUCUUGCUGAAGGCAGACCAGUGUGGUCAGAGGUCAAGGUUGAGGGACUCUCACUAAAUUGGCUUAGCAGGAUCCCUGCUAAAACUGGACUAGGCAGGCUGAAGCCUGGGUCCAGGGAUGAGUCCUGUUAAAAAGAGGGCUGAGAGGGGCCUUCUAAAGUUUGGUCACUGAGACUGUCUUUGUCAAGGGCCCUUCCUAUGUAGUAUUUAUGACGGUAUUUUGUCUGGCAUUAAUAGAGUUAAUAUUGUGUGCCUUUCACAGCAAAUCAAAAAAUAUCAGAGCAUUUAAGAGUAUCAAGAUAUCAUGUUGACCUUGGAACUGAUAGCUUGAAGCAAAAAAAUAAAAAAAUUGCUGCUUAAUUCCUCUGAUAAGCUCUUGAAAUAACUGAACUCUAACCCUGGUAACCGUCACCUACUUCACAAGGUUGAUGGAAGGCACAGGUAAGAAGAGAAAGCCAUAACUGUUUGAAGAUGGGCAGAUUCUGACCAAGACUCCAGACUGUAAGGCCAGGAAAGAGAGAGGGCUUUCCUAAGUCUUGAGCCCAGGUGUAUGCCUGGAUCCCCAGUCUGGGCUCUGGCAAGAGACAAUCAAAGAUCCCAGCAAAAAUAUUACACUGUUCCAAUUCAUGGUUAAAAAUGUUGGCAUAGGUAGUGGUAUUUAUCUCUGGGUUUUUAAUUGACAACCAGGAGCAGCGAGUUAAUAUUGAAGAGCCCUAUUCAGGAAUGAAUAUACACACUCCAGGGGUGGUCUGUUGGAAUUUGAAAGACUAUUAAGAGGCUCCUCCUUUGGGAGGCCGAGGCAGGCAGAUCAGGAGGUCAGGAGAUCGAGACCAUCCUGGCUAACAUGGUGAAAACCCAUCUCUACUAAAAAUACAAAGAAUUAGCUUGGUGUGGUGGCACACGCCUGUAUUCCCAGCUACUCGGGAGACUGAGGCAGGAGAAUCGCUUGAACCUGGGAGGUGGAGGUUGCAGUGAGCCGAGAUCAUAUCACUGCACUCCAGCCUGGGCGACAGAGCUGGACUCGGUCUCAAAAAAAAAAAAAAAAAAAGAAGAAGCAGCUCCUGCUCUAGAGAGUCAGCUAUAAGAACUUCCUCUAUCCUCAAUGAACACCAACAGCUUUGCUAUCUGGCAUAAUGGAUUUUAGGAGUCAUUUUCAUUGGUGAAGUAAGAGUUGUUCAAAAUAUUAUGGGCUGACUGGAAGCACUGUAUCAGAUUGCAUCUCCUUGCAUAAACAGGGUAUUAUGACCUAGAAAGCCUAGUGGAUAAUGUAUGCCCUUCCAAAUGCUGUCUCUGGUUUGGGAUUUGAAUCAGGACUUGUAUCCACAGCUCAUAGAAAGGUUCCUGCACCUGACCCUGACUAGACAUGAAGCUAAAUCAUGCUGUUCGAGUACUGUCACAUCUGCCUUAAGUGAAUCUGUUAUGUAAGGCACCUGUCAGUGUGCCAGCAGAACAAAGCACCAGUACUUGGUUGAGUUUACAGAACUGGUUGUACCACGUUUUUGAGCCUGCUGGCUUCUAAAUGUUUAUUUUAUGGCCGAAUUCCGUCUGAGACUUGCUUUCAUUGUAACAUACCACCUGGUAUGAAGCUGAGGAGACCUAUAGCCCUCACCUACAUCUAUUAUGGGCCCACAUACAUGUGUUUGUGUUUCUUAGCUUAGGGAGGUUUCAGAAGCCCCGAGGCUGGAGUAAAGCAUGGUUACGGACUCUUGUUGUAGCAGAAAUGUUGCUUACUGUCUUUCUAUGACCCUUUGUAUUUCUGUGUAUUGGUUCUUCACCACUAAUAAUAAACCGCCUCAGUUCUUUUCUUAGAAGGACGUUGAACACUAACUAUACGGCAUUGAGCUAGGGAUGAAUUAAAGGGGAGCUCCCUGGAACUCCAGGAACUGUUUUCAAAAUGUGCCUGUUUGUGUUUAUAUGGUAACGUUUGGCUGAAUCCAUUUCACCUUCUGAGUAACACUUAAGGCAAAGCUGAAAUUCUUGCUGUCAACAAAACCCCCAAGACUACAAUUUCUACCCAGCCUCUUUCAAAAAGCAUGGAAAACCUCCUCCAUUCCAGCUUAUUUUUGCAUUGAGGCUGGUAUUUCAUUUGUUUGUUCUUUCGCUUUCUUUAAGCACCACUGCCCAGCAGUGUGGCGUGAGUACUGCUUGCUUUCUGCUCCCAGUCUCACUUUUUUUUUUUUUUUUUUUUGAGACAGAGUUUUGCUUUGUCACCCAGGCUAGAGUGCAGUGGUGUGAUCUUGGCUCACUGCAGCCUCCACCUCCUGGGUUCAAGUGAUUCUCCUGCCUCAGCCUCCUGAGUAGCAGGGAUUACAGGUGUGCACCACCACACCCAGCUAAUUUUUGCAUUUUUUGUAGAGAUGAGGUUUCACCAUGUUGGUCAAGCUGGCCUCAAACUCCUGACUUCAGGUGAUCUGCCUGCCUCAGCCUCCCAAAGUGUUGGGAUUAUGGGCGUGAGCCACCUCGCCUGGCCCCAGUCUCUCAUCUUUGUACCACACAUAUAACUUUGGUUUUGUAAGUAAGAAAAUGCUUACUCCUUGCUGUUGACUACACUGUGAGAUUCCUUUUGAGAACCCCACAAAUAAAGUCAAUACAACCAUCAGGAAUCCUUAGACUCAUUAAAAUUCCAGACCCUGUAAAAACAAUAUUUCCUGUUGAAUCUCAACAUGAACAAAGAGUGAUCAACUGAGAGUCAAACGUGACUGUGGGAUGAGUGAGUUUGGACAUUAACCACAUGAUGUGUAGAGGAGGCACAUCUCUUGUUGACACUCGCUUGUCCAUGUGACACUUCUGCUUUCCUGACACGCACUCAUGGAUACCACGAGUGUGUGUGUCAUGGGAAGUGCACGCCACCGAGCGGGCGCGGGGGCUGACCGGGCUGGGUCACUGCAGUGAAAAGUCAUGUGGAAAAAGCUACCAUUCAUUUAAUUGUUUUCACUUCUCACCUUGAACUCAGCUUUGUGACCACUCUGUGAAAACAAAACCAACACAGGUAUCCUGCCACAGAAUCGCCAUGUGUUAAAAGAUUCCACAGAGGUGUGACUGGACAGCAAACAGCGUUUUUCAGAGAGCUCCCUGUUAGUGGCAAAAUGAACAUUCCCUUAGGAGGGCAGAUCCCUUUUCUCAAAAGGCCAGAGGAUGGGGAUGCGGAAGGGGGUUGACUGUCUGAUUGGGAUUUAUGCCAGUGGAAUGCAGCCAAGUUGUGCUUAUAAAGGCCUUAUUCUUCCUCAGGUCAGAGCAGUACUACUGGGAGAGCCAAGGCGCUUCUCUGGAUGCACUCAACUACAGGGAUCUUUCUUUUGUACAUGCUUGAAUAUUUACCAUUAGGUUUGAUGUAGUGGAAAGACUCCUGGAUUUGGAAUCGGAAACUCUGAACGAGAAGACACUUAUUUUGUCACGGUACGGGAGGAAAUGUAUCUUCCUUGCCCAUCUCAGGUUCAGGGCUGAGGCCCAUAUAAGAAAAGACAGAUUAAGAAGAGAAAAGUAUACACAUUUAGUUAAUCUAAGUUUUACUUGACACGGGAACCUUCAUAAGGAAAUGACCCAGAGAAACAGUUCAGCCUGGCUUCUUUUGUACAACAGGUUUGACGAGAAGUGGCCAGGUGUGCGGAAACGUGAUUGGGGAAAGAGUGUGGUCUGAUGGGAAUAAACUGGGGGAAACUGAGCAAGGCCUGUUUGUUCAGCUUCUUCUUUGUCUUCAGAAAUAAGGAUGUUCCCUUUCUCCGGGUCUAGGGAGGGCACCGCUCACAGGAGGGUCUUACGAUGACCUGCUUCAGGAGAAGGUCAGAAAAUCCUUCUUAGGUUUUACGACCUGAUUCAGCAGGCAAGGUGAGGGGAAAGGUGAGAGGGAGCUUCUUGCACGUGCCAUCUCUCAGAUUCCUUCAGCUUAAGAUAUUCAGUGUGUCAAGGUACCACAGUUUGGGGUAGCAUGUCCUGAACCCUGUCAUUACUUAACCAUUCUGAGCCUAGAGCUGUCUUUUGUAAAAUGCAGAUAAUAUCCCACGCCUUACAGGACAGUUCAAUCAGAGGAAUAAAUAAAAGUGCCUAUGCAGGUACCUGGAGCAUAGUACAUGCUCAAUAAAUGUUUUUGCUCUCAAUCUAAUUUUAAAAUUAAUUAUAUCGGUGUAAUCCUUCCAUAGCUCUUAUUUAAUUUUUAUGUUUGACUCCCCAAGGAGGUUGUAAAUACAUCCUAGAGGGAAGGGACCUUAGAUUAUCUUUUUAUGAAAAGUCAACAGCAGUAAGUGAAAGAAAUCACUGUACAUUAAAUUUUUUUGUCAAAUGAAUGUCACUGCUUUCUAAAAGUACUUAAAAAACACUGAUAUUAUGCAACUUCCUCCUAGCUCUGGAGACAUCCUGGAGGUUACCCUUAUGACUCAACUAAGAAAGCCCCUCAGGACUGAGGAUGGGACAACUGGGAUGUAAUUGGGAAUUGAGGGGGUGAUGGAGAGAUCCACUCUCCAUACUGUUCUCUAGGAACAGCGGGGACACACCUGCUGCUCUUGUUCAUCAGCUCGUCAGCCAUCAGGCUGCCCCUUUGCUCUUGCUUUUAAUACACUAGCACCUGUGCAGGAAAACAGAAGAAAAGAACACACAUUCUUCAGGCCUUUGUGAUCCCUCCUGUGUUCAUUCGAGUGAACUAGAGAACCAGAGCUGGGAAAACCCCCAUGGCGAUGCAUGCAAAGACAUGCACACAGGUGACUCCUGUCUGGGUACUAGCUGGAACAACAAACACUAUGCUAUACGUUCUCUGAGGUCCACGUGGUUGAACUUGAGUCUGAGAAAGCAUCUUGUCUGAUGGGUUCACCCAGAAGCAUCUCAGGUCAGGACAGAAAAAUCCUGACAUCAGGAGCAUCCAUGCUGCUUUGCCUUGACCAACCGGUCACCCUGAGUGUGAUGGAAACUAGAUUUACUCUGGCUAUUGAGGCAUGGUCUUUCUCUUGCUCUCUUUAAUAGAACUUCCUUCUUUCACUAACAAUGAGGUUGAGAAAGUAUGUUGAGGCUUAAAUAUUUCAACAAGACGGAGCGCCAAAAGCCAGGAGCUUCCCAGUAUUUCUGAAGCUCUUUCCGCUUUUCCAGAAUCAACCCCCUUUUUCUAUUUACUGUCAUCCAUUAAAAUAUAAUGCUCUGUCAACACCACUGUUUCUGUUUUGAAUCUUCCAAGCCUGGGUUUGGUAAACAGUUUUCAAUUCAUUGACUGUUAAUCAUUCAUUUAUCUGCAUGUUCAAUGACACCAGCAUUUGCUGUGUUCUUCCUAUGUGCUGGUCGCCGGGUUUUACAGAUGAACAAAAUGAAGCUCAGAGGAUAAUCACUUCUCCAGUGGCAGCUGCUAAGCAGCAGAGCUGGGAUUUGAAAGAAGCUACUCAGGCUUUAAGUCCCAUGUAUUUUAUUCAAUACACCUAAUUUCAACAUCUAGCAAAAAUAGAAAACUGAUGAUAAUCUACCUGUAAUUAUGGAUACUUUCAUUCUUUUUUUAUUUUAAUUUUUUUUGAGGCAGAGUCUUGCUCUGUGGCCCAGCCUGGAGUGGAGUGGUAUGGUCUCGGCUUACUGCAACCUCUGCCUCCUGGGUUUGAGCAAUUCUCCUGCCUCAGCCUCCUGAGUACUGGGACUACAUGCAUGUGCUACCACACCUAGCUAAUUUUUGUAUUUUUAGUAGAGACGGGGUUUUGCCACUUUGGCCAGGCUGGUCUCAAACUCCUGACCUUAGGUGAUCUGCCUGCCUUGGCCUUCCAAAGUGCUGGGAUUACAGGAGUGAGCCACUGCACCUGGCCUAUCCUUUCACUCUUAAAGGAACUUUUCCAGCUAUUCCACCCAACUGGCUGCCAGCGUUACCUUCCUAAAUAACUUUGCCUUUAUCAUCUCUAGGUCAACAUACCAUCAGUUCAGGAGGAAAAAAAUAGGUUUGAGAUUAGAGAUUGGGAAUAUUGGUUCAGACGCCAAUUCUUAAUUGCAAGAUCUCCUAUACUUUUAAUUAUACUUGUAGGGGAGGAAAAACAUUUGUUCUCUGCUCUCCUGUGUUCAGUGGUUGGGGGCCCCAGGAAUUAAAUUCACACAAGACAGACUACCAAGAGAGAAUAACAGAUACAAUUAUGUAUGCUGGCACAGGAAUUCACAACGAAAUGUGAUUCGAAGAGGCAUUUAGAAUUUGGAGCUUAUAUAAACCAUCUUAGGCUGGACAAAGGAAAGGGGAUUUUGGGCUUCUGAGAUGGGAGGUAAGUUAUGGGAAGGUGAAGGGAGAAAAUGUAUAAUAAACAAGUGUUGUUUAAUAACGUUUGUUAGGCAGAUAAGAGUCGCCUCAGGUGCUAAAAGUUGUCUCUGGAGUAUUUCUCUUCCUGGUAUGGGAAAGGGAGACACCCUUACAAAUGGAAAUUUAUGUCCUGUUUUUAGACAGAAUAGGGGAUGGCAGACAGCGAAUUGCCUUCAGCUCAAAACAAUUCUUACGCCAAAGUGGCAUAUUUGGGGGUGGCACAUUCUAUUUCCCAUUAUACCCAAGAUGCAUGAAUCUGAAGCCCUACUUUUUUGUUUUAGUACACAUUACUUCCAUUGUUAUUUAGCUCUUUUCCAAGGCUAUAAGCUACUUAAGGAGAAGAGAAGUGGUUUCUUUAGUUUUGUGUCUGUGGCAUUCCCUCUUAAAAGCUACUGUUUAUUUAGCACCCAUGAUAUCUCAUGUGCUUUAUGUACAUUACCCCCAGAACACUUUCAGUUAAUAUAAAAAUCUCCAUUUCACAGAUGAAGACAUUUACCCUCAGAGAGAUUAAUUGGUUUACUGAAAUCAUUCUGCAAAUAUGUCGCAGGGGACUCAGGAUUUGUUCCUAGAUCUUUGUAUUAGUCAGCGUCUUCAAGAGAAACCGAACCAAUAGAAUGUGUAUUUAGGUAUAUAGAGAGAUUUAUUUUAAGGAAUUGGCUCAUGUGAUUAUGGAGGCUGGCAAGUCCAACGUCUGCAGGGUGAACCAGCAGGCUGAAGACUCAGAGAGGAGCCAAUCCUGCAGUCAAGUCUGAAGACUGUCUGCUACCAAAGUCCCUCUUGCUCGGGAGAAGGUCAGUCUUUUGUUCUAUACAGGCCUUUGUGAACCCCCAACAUUUGAGACAGGUCUAAGUUAAUUUAGAAAGUUUAUUUUGCUACAAAAAUUAAUCAGGCAUGGUGGCAGGUGCUGGUAAUCCCAGCUACUCAGGAGGCUGAAACAGGAGAAUCACUUGAACCUGGGAGGCAGAGGUUGCAGUGAGCCAAGAUCGUGCCACUGCACUCCAGCCUGGGCAACAGAGCAAGACUCCAUCUCAAAAAAAAAAAAAAGAAGAAAAGAAAGAAAGUUUAUUUUGCCAAGGUUGAGAACGCAUGCCCAUGACACAGCCUCAGGAGGUCCUGAUGACAUGUGCCCAAGGUGGUCAGAGCACACCUUGCUUUUGUACAUUUUUAGGGGACAUGAGACAUCAAUCAACAUAUGUAAAAUGACUAUUGGUUCAAUUCGGAAAGGCGGGACAACUCGGAGCAGGCAGGGGGCUUCCAGGUCACAGGUAGGUGUGAGACAAACGGUUCCAUUCUUUUGAGUUUCGGAUUAGCCUUUCCAAAGGAAGCAAUCAGAUCUGCAUUUAUCUCAGUGAGCAGAGGGAUGACUUUGAAUAGAAUGGGAGGGAGGUUUGCCCUAAGCAGUUCCCAGCUUGAAUUUUCCUUUAGCUUAGUGAUUUUGACGGCCCAGGAUAUUUUCCUUUCACACCUUCAGCUGAUUAGAUGGGGCCCACCACAUGGGGAAGGGCAAUCUGCUUUGCUCCAAGUCCCUCAUUUUAAAGGUUAAUCUCAUCCAAAAGACCCUCACAGAAACGUCCAGAUUCAUGUUAAGCCACAUAUCGGCACACUGGCCCAGCCAAGUGGACAGAAAAUUAACCAUCAGCAUUUUCUGGUAGGAAAUUUCACACUCACUUCUUUUUAUCACAUUAAGGUUCUUCUCAACGUAGGUUAGUUGGUGACCUUGAGUCAAGUUCAAGCCAUGCAUGUUAACCUGGAGCAAAAGCCCCCCCUCCCCAUCUUACGUGAAAUGUGUAAUCACCAAUUUCAGGUCUUUGUUUACAGAUAAAAUUUCUAAGGGAUUUUCUGUCUCUGGAAACUUAAAAGGCCAACCUGAUGUGGGUGUUUUUUCAUUUGUUUUGUUUUGUUUUGUUUUUGAGCGGAGUCUCGCUUUGUUGCCCAGGCUGGAGUGCAGUGGUGCGAUCUCGGCUCACUGCAAGCUCCGCUUUCCAGGUUCACGCCAUUCUCCUGCCUCAGCCUCCCGAGUAGAUGGGACUACAAGCACCCGCCACCAAGCCCAGCUAAUUUUUUUUUUGUAUUUUUAGUAGAGACAGGGUUUCGCCAUGUUAGCCAGGAUGGUCUCGAUCUCCUGAUUUCAUGAUCUGCCCACCUCGGCCUCCCAAAGUGCUGGGAUUACAGGUGUGAGUGGGUGUUUUUAAAGAGUAGAGACAUUCUCAAAGGAUCCUGUCUCUGGAGCCAGCUUUAGGGACCUCUUGGUUAGUUCUGGAAGACAAUCUAAUACAAGG
This 17865-nucleotide long non-coding RNA is filed under the name Homo sapiens (human). RNAcentral's name for it is "non-protein coding LINC02363:15". Lineage: Eukaryota; Metazoa; Chordata; Mammalia; Primates; Hominidae. The record is from RNAcentral.